Long non-coding RNA from Adelges cooleyi (spruce gall adelgid), 645 nucleotides. RefSeq lists it as uncharacterized. The record is from RefSeq and is a predicted model, not a curated record. The transcript has 4 exons. NCBI's taxonomy places the organism in Eukaryota, Metazoa, Arthropoda, Insecta, Hemiptera, Adelgidae.
GAAGCUAUUGCAAAAUAAUAAGAAGCAUUAAAGUUUUAAAUUCCUACAAAAUAUCAAGUCUCUUACGUGAAAAAAAAAAUCAUCAUGUAUUUGAAAUACGCUAAUAUCUUAUUAUUCUUGUUUUGUUUUUAUCAAGUAUCAAACGCAGCAAGAUUUACUAAAGAGCAACUGCAAACAAUUUAUGAAGACACCAAAGAGCUUAGUUUAAGUAAUAUGGAACAGCUAAAAAUGAAGAUUCCUGAACAUUUAAAAGAGGGACUAGUUAACAGGCAUCACGUAAGAAAUUACUUUUUUGAAGACUCAAAAUUCGCUGCAUUCAAUCUUACACUUGAACAAAUGGAUAAAAUAACAGAACCAUUGAUACAGGAUAAUAUUAAUACCCCAUUCGAGAUGUUUACAGCUGUUAUGAAUAGAGAUAUAAGCGAUUUAUAAAUUGGCUGCCUCUAAGCAAGGCUACAAAUUUACUACAACAUCCAAUCAUCGUUCACUAUAUUCCAAAGGAAAAACUAAAGUGUUUGCUUUAUCUCUUAAAAAAAAAUCACAUUACUAUGUUGAUAUCUUAUUUUUAAGUUUUUAUGUAUUUAUUUUAAAAAUUUUAAUGGGUGUGUGGGUUAUUUUUGUUGUUUUAAUCGAUUACUGUAUUAU